AAGGCCAAUCGGUUAGAGACUACAGCUUGUAUAAAAGCAGAGGAGGUGGCGCAUUUCCUUCUCUUUCUUUGAGAUCCUCCCGAAAGUAGAAGUGAAGAAAUGAUAACAGAAGAAAUAGCGGUUCUGUAGAUCUGCUUGCAGUCUUUGGCGUCUCUGCAGUUAUGGAUCUGGACCCUAGACGCAGGUCAGGGUCAGCGCUGGAGGAACCACGUGCAGGUCCAGGUGACGAACCUGGCUGAUGCAAACAUGAGCUGGAUGGAGACUGUACAGAUCCAGAAGGGAUAAAUGUUGGCGUCCAGGUUGACUGGGAAGUGAGUGCUGGCUCUGCCCUCUAAAGAUGUUGGUGUGAGAAGAUCACCAUGGAGACCAGCUGCAGGCCAGGAGUACAGAAAGCUGCUGCUGCUUUAUUUGUGCAAAGAAUCUGUGACAAACAGUGAAAUUGAUGCUAUGAAACUGUCAGCUGUUGGGUUGGAAUAAAAACCACUGAAAAUA
Molecule: long non-coding RNA, 492 nt
Organism: Poeciliopsis prolifica (blackstripe livebearer)
Lineage: Eukaryota; Metazoa; Chordata; Actinopteri; Cyprinodontiformes; Poeciliidae
Exons: 6
Source: RefSeq, a predicted model, not a curated record